This 496-nucleotide ribosomal RNA is filed under the name uncultured bacterium. RNAcentral describes it as "partial 16S ribosomal RNA". It matches the Rfam family "Bacterial small subunit ribosomal RNA", at positions 28 to 506 of the family's 1533-position model. The record is from RNAcentral.
GAUGAACGCUGGCGGCGUGCCUAAUACAUGCAAGUCGAGCGAACAGACGAGGAGCUUGCUCCUCUGACGUUAGCGGCGGACGGGUGAGUAACACGUGGAUAACCUACCUAUAAGACUGGGAUAACUUCGGGAAACCGGAGCUAAUACCGGAUAAUAUAUUGAACCGCAUGGUUCAAUAGUGAAAGACGGUUUUGCUGUCACUUAUAGAUGGAUCCGCGCCGCAUUAGCUAGUUGGUAAGGUAACGGCUUACCAAGGCGACGAUGCGUAGCUGACCUGAGAGGGUGAUCGGCCACACUGGACCUGAGACACGGUCCAGACUCCUACGGGAGGCAGAAGUAGGGAAUCUUCCGCAAUGGGCGAAAGCCUGACGGAGCAACGCCGCGUGAGUGAUGAAGGUCUUCGGAUCGUAAAACUCUGUUAUUAGAGAAGAACAAAUGUGUAAGUAACUAUGCACGUCUUGACGGUACCUAAUCAGAAAGCCACGGCUAACUACGU